GUCUACUCUAUAGUUUUCUUUUUGACAAUAUUUCCAGAAAUCACGUUGUGGCCUAUGCUAUGAUAUACAUUAUUGACUGUUUUACAGGUUUUUAGAAGUUGGGUGAAUUAACAUCUCUAAAGUCUCUAAAUCUAUCUGGUAAUUUAUUGGAGGGAACUAUUCAUAUUAAUGAUCUUAAAGGUUUGAAUAACUUGGAGCAGCUUGAUAUUAGCAUGAAUCAGUUUGAUAGUUUCAUAACUCACUUAGGUUUUGAAAGACUAUCUGUGUUAGGCAAGCUGGAGGUACUUGGUUUGGGAAACAAUUUUUUCAAUAAUAGCAUCCUACAAUCUCUUGGUGUCCUCUCAUCACUCAAGACUUCAUCCUUACGGUACACCCGUUUGAAUGGAUUAAUUGACAUAGGAGGUAAGUCUAGUAUAAAAUAUUUCCCCUAUUCACAACUAAAACAACUAACCAGCAUCAAUAUGGACGAUCUUUGCAGCAUCAAUGUGAGUUUUAUGGGCCGUU
Molecule: non-coding RNA, 504 nt
Organism: Camellia sinensis
Lineage: Eukaryota; Viridiplantae; Streptophyta; Magnoliopsida; Ericales; Theaceae
Source: RefSeq, a predicted model, not a curated record